RNAcentral lists this ribosomal RNA (235 nucleotides) under uncultured Lactobacillus sp. Its description in RNAcentral is "partial 16S ribosomal RNA". It matches the Rfam family "Bacterial small subunit ribosomal RNA", at positions 127 to 355 of the family's 1533-position model. The record is from RNAcentral. Lineage: Bacteria; Bacillati; Bacillota; Bacilli; Lactobacillales; Lactobacillaceae.
UGCCCAAGAGAUCGGGAUAACACCUGGAAGCAGAUGCUAAUACCGGAUAACAACAGAUGAUGCCUAUCAACUGUUUAAAAGAUGGUUCUGCUAUCACUCUUGGAUGGACCUGCGGUGCAUUAGCUAGUUGGUAGGGUAACGGCCUACCAAGGCGAUGAUGCAUAGCCGAGUUGAGAGACUGAUCGGCCACAUUGGGACUGAGACACGGCCCAAACUCCUACGGGAGGCAGCAGCA